Balaenoptera acutorostrata (minke whale) is the source of this 718-nucleotide long non-coding RNA. RefSeq lists it as uncharacterized. The record is from RefSeq and is a predicted model, not a curated record. NCBI's taxonomy places the organism in Eukaryota, Metazoa, Chordata, Mammalia, Artiodactyla, Balaenopteridae. The transcript is spliced from 4 exons.
GAGCGAGCCAGCGGAGCAGCCUUCCGUCCGUCAGGGCCCUCGCGGGUCAGGCUGGACACCCUGGAGAGGGUGCCGAUGUACCUGAGUCUCCUGCCAUGGGACAGAAGGGAUAUUCUGUGACCACUGAGACCAUAGGGCGGCCCAGCAGGGUCUGCACAGUCUACUUGAAGAUAAAGCCUCCAAGGUUUUCUACAAUCUCUUCUCGAUCUACUUUUUGAUCUCACCUCCUUGUACUUUUCAAAAGUGCAUGAAAUCAGAAUAGGCUGAUCUGCCCUGUCCAUAGAUGCUCUGCUCAGAUAGGUUAAUGGCCAAUGACUCCCUGGCACCAUCUGCAGUGAACUGUGAAAGCGCAAACUCGGCCUUGACCACCUGACAGCCUCACUGUCACUCAGAGCGCCCACGGGGGCCCCAGACACACUCUCGCCGUUAAGAAGCCCUGUCCAAGAACCUUGCCACAUACAUCCCCUGUCAAGAAGUGGAGUCUGGGGCUUCCCUGGUGGUGCAGUGGUUAAGAAUCCGCCUGCCAAUGUAGGGAACACGGGUUCUAGCCCUGGUUUGGGAAGAUCCCACAUGCUGCAGAGCAACUGAGCCCAUGCGCCACAACUACUGAGCCUGUGAGCCACAACUACUGAGCCCGUGUGCCACAACUACUGAAACCCACAUACCUAGAGCUUCAAGAGAAGCCACCGCAAUGAGAAGCCCGCGCACUGCAAUGAAG